Molecule: ribosomal RNA, 464 nt
Filed under: uncultured bacterium
Lineage: Bacteria
Description: partial 16S ribosomal RNA
Rfam family: Bacterial small subunit ribosomal RNA
Source: RNAcentral
CUACGGGAGGCUCCAGUGAGGAGUUUUGCGCAAUGGGGGAAACCCUGACGCAGCAACGCCGCGUGAGCGAAGAAGGCCUUCGGGUCGUAAAGCUCUGUCAAGUGGGAAAAACGUUUUCCGGUGAAUAGCCGGGAGAUCUGAUGGUACCAUUGAAGGAAGCACCGGCUAACUCCGUGCCAGCAGCCGCGGUAAUACGGAGGGUGCAAGCGUUGUUCGGAAUUAUUGGGCGUAAAGAGCGUGUAGGCGGUUUAGUAAGUCAGAUGUGAAAGCCCCGGGCUCAACCUGGGAAGUGCAUUUGAAACUGCUUUACUGGAGUAUGGGAGAGGAGAGUGGAAUUCCUGGUGUAGAGGUGAAAUUCGUAGAUAUCAGGAGGAACAUCUGUGGCGAAGGCGACUCUCUGGACCAAUACUGACGCUGAGACGCGAAAGCGUGGGUAGCAAACAGGAUUAGAUACCCCGGUAGUC